This 252-nucleotide ribosomal RNA is filed under the name uncultured bacterium. RNAcentral describes it as "partial 16S ribosomal RNA". It matches the Rfam family "Bacterial small subunit ribosomal RNA", at positions 524 to 776 of the family's 1533-position model. The record is from RNAcentral.
UACGUAGGUCCCGAGCGUUGUCCGGAUUUAUUGGGCGUAAGGCGAGCACAGGUGGUUUAUUAAGUCUGGUGUAAAAGGCAGUGGCUCAACCAUUGUAUGCAUUGGAAACUGGUAGACUUGAGUGCAGGAGAGGAGAGUGGAAUUCCAUGUGUAGCGGUGAAAUGCGUAGAUAUAUGGAGGAACACCGGUGGCGAAAGCGGCUCUCUGGCCUGUAACUGACACUGAAGCUCGAAAGCGUGGGGAGCAAACAGG